Molecule: ribosomal RNA, 460 nt
Filed under: uncultured bacterium
Lineage: Bacteria
Description: partial 16S ribosomal RNA
Rfam family: Bacterial small subunit ribosomal RNA
Source: RNAcentral
CCUACGGGAGGCAGCAGUGAGGAAUAUUGGUCAAUGGGCGCAAGCCUGAACCAGCCAAGUCGCGUGAGGGAUGACGGUCCUAUGGAUUGUAAACUUCUUUUGUCUGGGAGCAAAGUGCACCACGUAUGCCGCUUUGCAUGUACCUUACGAAAAAGCAUCGGCUAACUCCGUGCCAGCAGCCGCGGUAAUACGGAGGAUGCGAGCGUUAUCCGGAUUUAUUGGGUUUAAAGGGAGCGUAGGUGGGUUGUUAAGUCAGUUGUGAAAGUUUGCGGCUCAACCGUAAAAUUGCAAGUGAUACUGGCAGUCUUGAGUACAGGAGAGGUAGGCGGAAUUCGUGGUGUAGCGGUGAAAUGCUUAGAUAUCACGAAGAACUCCGAUUGCGAAGGCAGCUUGCUGAACUGUAACUGACACUGAUGCUCGAAAGUGUGGGUAUCAAACAGGAUUAGAUACCCGAGUAGUC